UGGCCAGGUGAAACGUGGGCGUGUCUUUGGCCAGGUGCAAUGUGGGCGUGUCUUUGGCCAGGUGAAACGUGGGCGUGUCGUUGGCCAGGUGAAACGUGGGCGUGUC
Long non-coding RNA from Thalassophryne amazonica, 106 nucleotides. RefSeq lists it as uncharacterized. The record is from RefSeq and is a predicted model, not a curated record. The transcript has 3 exons. Lineage: Eukaryota; Metazoa; Chordata; Actinopteri; Batrachoidiformes; Batrachoididae.